GACGAACGCUGGCGGCGUGCUUAACACAUGCCCGUCGAACGGUAAGGCCCCAGCUUGCUGGUGUCCACGAGUGGCGAACGGGUGUGUAACACGUGGGUGACCUGCCCCGCACUUCGGGAUAAGCCUGGGAAACUGGGUCUAAUACCGGAUAGGACCGCACCGUUAGCGUGUGGUGGCAAGUUGUGCGGGGUGGUCUGGGCCCGCGGCCUAUCAGCGUGUUGGUGGGGUAAUCGCCUACCAAGGCGGCGUCCUUUAGCCGGCCUGAGAGGGUGAACGGCCACAUUAGGACUAAGAAGCACACCAAGCUCCUACGGGAGACAGCAGUGAGGAAGCUAGCACAGUGGGCGGAGGGCUGAUGAAGAGACCCCGCGUGCGUGAUGACGGACAUCGGGUUGAAAACAACUUUCACCAGAGACGAAGGUCAGGUGACGGUCCCUGGCGAAGAAGCACCGGCUAACUACGAG
Molecule: ribosomal RNA, 464 nt
Filed under: uncultured bacterium
Lineage: Bacteria
Description: partial 16S ribosomal RNA
Rfam family: Bacterial small subunit ribosomal RNA
Source: RNAcentral